UACGUAGGGUGCGAGCGUUGUCCGGAAUUAUUGGGCGUAAAGAGCUUGUAGGCGGUUUGUCGCGUCUGCUGUGAAAAUCCGGGGCUCAACCCCGGACUUGCAGUGGGUACGGGCAGACUAGAGUGUGGUAGGGGGAGACUGGAAUUCCUGGUGUAGCGGUGAAAUGCGCAGAUAUCAGGAGGAACACCGAUGGCGAAGGCAGGUCUCUGGGCAUUAACUGGCGCUGAGGAGCGAAAGCAUGGGGAGCGAACAGG
RNAcentral lists this ribosomal RNA (254 nucleotides) under uncultured bacterium. Its description in RNAcentral is "partial 16S ribosomal RNA". It matches the Rfam family "Bacterial small subunit ribosomal RNA", at positions 524 to 776 of the family's 1533-position model. The record is from RNAcentral.